UAUUUGGUUUGGAGCUCCAUGUACUGCACAAGUUUGUAAAUCCAGAUGAUCAUGUUCUCCAACAAGAUUUGAAAAAUGCUAAAAAAUGGUCUCUUCUCCGUGGCUCCCGUAAAAUGAAAGUGUGGUUUUUCUCUGGUUCUGUGCAGCAGAGGAUGCCCUGUGGAUCGAUCAGUGGCCUUCCAUCAGGUGGCUGCUAAUGAAUGAGAUGAGAGUGGGAGGGUGAGUCUAGUGAAGUAUUGCUCUCUUCAGCAGAGUUCUUGUCUCCGGGUCUGACAGCAUCCUCCCCCCGGCCGCUUCACCACUAUCUGUCCAGUCACUAUCAAUUACUAAGCUCUGAAACAUCCUGCACCCUGUACACCUUCCACGGCGAGUGUGAAUGCACAUGUCGGGGCCUUGACCUGCUAUGUGUGUGCGUGCCGCAUGUCAGGAAACGAGAGGUAAUGCUAUAGAGGCAGGUGGCCACCGAAGCAUCUUGCUACCCAUUUUGUGUAAUUGUGGUCAUCUCACCUUGACAUUGUGUGUGUGUGCUCUUGUCUUUCUACUAAGGACAAAGAUGUUGGAGCUCUGGUACAGUGGUCAACCCAUGCAGGAGACCGGCACAGAAAUGGGGAUGGAAAGAAUGGGAUUCGGUAUAUGCUGAUGAAGAGGAAUUCAAGAUUGAUGAUGAUGAAUCAUGAUGAGUCACUGUAAAAAAGUCAGAGACUAGUGCAAUGUGGUGAUAAUAACAACAGCUGUGGUCAUGAAAUGAUUCAGACAUCUGCUCCCCAUUGAAUAUUUGUUUACUCUCAUAAUGAGGCAACAGCUUAUUUAGCAUGUUUUAUUAUUACUGAACUAAUCAAUGCAGGGGACUACAGAGUGUGUCCUGGGUCAUGUUCAUCCAGUGUGGCUUACUACGUCAGCCUGGAAAGUUUCGAAAGGUUUGUCCAUUCAUCGAGUCAAGCUUAACAUUUGAUGAGCCUUUGGGCUGCUUUUCACUCCUUUUCAUUUGCUGUGUUUUCAGAACACAGGUUCAUUCCAUGUUAUCUUCAACAUUUUCUGGCUGACCAGUUGGACCAGAUGGUCCUUGAUUGCAUAGCAGUACAAUGCCAGCACUGACUUUGGGAUCAGUCUUAAAGGAAUAUUUUGUGCAAAAUGAAAGUUCUGUGCCAUUUACUCACCCUUAUGUCAUUUCAAAUCUGUAUCUGUAAAACAUGACCUAAUUUUUGUGUUCAGAAAAUAAAUAAAUAAAUAAAUAAAAAUAAGAAUAAUAA
Cyprinus carpio (common carp) is the source of this 1250-nucleotide long non-coding RNA. The record is from Ensembl. Lineage: Eukaryota; Metazoa; Chordata; Actinopteri; Cypriniformes; Cyprinidae.